RNAcentral lists this ribosomal RNA (484 nucleotides) under uncultured bacterium. RNAcentral describes it as "partial 16S ribosomal RNA". It matches the Rfam family "Bacterial small subunit ribosomal RNA", at positions 30 to 507 of the family's 1533-position model. The record is from RNAcentral.
AUUGAACGCUGGCGGCAGGCCUAACACAUGCAAGUCGAGCGGAUGAAGGGAGCUUGCUCCUGGAUUCAGCGGCGGGCGGGUGAGUAAUGCCUAGGAAUCUGCCUGGUAGUGGGGGAUAACGUCCGGAAACGGGCGCUAAUACCGCAUACGUCCUGAGGGAGAAAGUGGAGGAUCUUCGGACCUCACGCUAUCAGAUGAGCCUAGGUCGGAUUAGCUAGUUGGUAGGGUAAAGGCCUACCAAGGCGACGAUCCGUAACUGGUCUGAGAGGAUGAUCAGUCACACUGGAACUGAGACACGGUCCAGACUCCUACGGGAGGCAGCAGUGGGGAAUAUUGGACAAAGGGCGAAAGCCUGAUCCAGCCAUGCCGCGUGUGUGAAGAAGGUCUUCGGAUUGUAAAGCACUUUAAGUUGGGAGGAAGGGAAGUAAGUUAAUACCUUGCUGUUUUGACGUUACCAACAGAAUAAGCACCGGCUAACUUCGUG